RNAcentral lists this non-coding RNA (24 nucleotides) under Arabidopsis thaliana (thale cress). The record is from RNAcentral. Lineage: Eukaryota; Viridiplantae; Streptophyta; Magnoliopsida; Brassicales; Brassicaceae.
AGAAGCGGUGAUUUGGUCUAGAAU